UGCGUAGUGCCCUGAGAGUUGUCAAGGUUUUUGGUUGUGGAGUAUCCGAGAGGGGAGCAAGGGCGGCUACGGUUCUACAAUGCCGAAUAAAUCAAAGAAGGAAAAGGAGUCCCCUAAAUCUGGCAAAGUGAGUAAGAGUGGAGGACAGGAGAAUGAGCAUGAGCAGAGCUCUAACAGGAAGACUAGCAACAGUGUUCCUCCCACCACUCAGCUGCUAAAGGGGAAGCAGCCAGGUUCCCAGACACCUGUCAAAAAGGACAAGAGGCAGAGUUCCUCUCGCUUCAGCUUGAGCAACAACAGGGAGCUGCAGAAACUGCCUGCUUUUAAAGAUGUUCCCCCGGCAGAGCAGGAGAAGCUGUUCAUCCAGAAGUUGCGGCAGUGCUGCGUCCUCUUCGAUUUCGUUUCGGACCCACUGAGUGAUCUGAAAUGGAAGGAGGUGAAACGGGCAGCACUGAGCGAGAUGGUGGAGUACAUCACCCACAACAGGAAUGUCAUCACAGAACCCAUUUACCCAGAAGUGGUUCACGUGUUUCUAGUGAAUAUGUUCAGGACGUUGCCGCCAUCAUCAAACCCCACGGGUGCAGAGUUUGACCCAGAGGAGGACGAGCCCACGCUAGAGGCUGCAUGGCCUCAUCUACAGCUCGUCUAUGAAUUCUUCCUACGGUUCUUAGAGUCUCCGGACUUUCAGCCAAACAUAGCCAAAAAGUAUAUCGACCAGAAGUUUGUAAUGCAGCUCUUAGAUCUGUUUGACAGUGAAGACCCAAGGGAAAGAGAUUUUUUAAAGACCACUCUACAUCGCAUCUAUGGAAAGUUCCUGGGCCUUCGAGCGUACAUUAGGAAACAGAUAAAUAACAUAUUUUAUAGCUUCAUUUAUGAGACUGAACAUCAUAAUGGAAUAGCAGAAUUACUGGAAAUAUUAGGCAGCAUAAUCAAUGGAUUUGCAUUACCACUAAAAGAAGAGCACAAGAUAUUCCUUCUCAAAGUUCUACUGCCUCUACACAAAGUCAAGUCUCUCAGUGUAUAUCACCCACAGUUGGCCUACUGUGUGGUUCAGUUCUUAGAAAAGGAUAGCACCCUCACAGAACCGACCGUGAUGGCUUUGUUAAAGUAUUGGCCAAAGACCCACAGUCCAAAAGAGGUGAUGUUCCUCAAUGAGCUGGAGGAGAUCCUGGACGUCAUCGAACCCACAGAGUUUGUCAAAGUCAUGGAGCCUCUCUUCAGGCAGCUGGCCAAGUGUGUGUCCAGCCCGCACUUUCAGGUGGCAGAACGGGCCCUGUACUACUGGAACAACGAGUACAUCAUGAGCCUGAUCAGCGACAAUGCCGCCAAGAUCCUGCCCAUCAUGUUCCCCUCCCUCUACCGCAACUCCAAGACCCACUGGAACAAGACGAUCCAUGGUUUGAUCUACAACGCUCUCAAACUCUUUAUGGAGAUGAACCAGAAGCUGUUUGAUGACUGCACCCAACAAUUCAGAGCCGAGAAGAGCAAAGAGAAGGCCAAAUGGAAAGAGAGAGAGGAAGCGUGGCUGAAGAUUGAGAACCUUGCAAAAUCAAACCCACAGUUUCUGAUAUACAUCGACUCUAUGGGUCCAGACGGUCCAAUAGAUAUGGAGACAGAUGGGCCGCUGCUUGAUGAUGUCAACCUCCUCAAGAAAACCGUAGAAGAAGAAGCCACACAGGUCAGGAAUGAAGAAUCAGAGUAGCCUUGAUGUGUAAGGCAAGGAUUUGUGGAUGUGCAUUUGUCCACUGUUGUUUACUAUUCAAAAAGAUCAGCGAAGAGAACGCCCGUUGGUGCGGAGGAAAUCAGAACUCCCCAGGGACAUCUGCACUGUCACAGCACUGGAGUUGCACAGGAGGGCUGAGGAGAUGUUGACAACGCAUGAUGGCCACUAGGAGGCCAGCCGAGAUCCACCCUAAACCAGCAGCAACAGCAUCCACAGAAGAACCACAGGCCCACAGAGGCCAGCACAACAACACAUCUCUGGUAUCUCAGUCCAGACCAGCACAAACCCAGAACUGAACUGCCCCAGCUCCACAUGACACAGAAAAUGUCUACAGUUACACAGCUUAGCCUGCUGGGCUACAUCAGGACAAAAGGUGCUGGAUGGUCAAGACCGCCACAUGCACCAGGCUCUGAACUUCACCCAAGAUACUGUAGUCUUGUCAUCUCUCUUUUUCUCCCUCGUUUCUCUUUAUUUCCUAUCCUCUUAACUUGUUGUGUUUUUUCGGCGGUGCUAUGCUGCCUCCUUCUGGUCAUUUCUCUCAGGUGUUCUGUUAUUUGUGUGUGAGUGUGUGUGGGAGCGGUCUUCUCCUCUUGCCUCUUCUUUAUAAAUGUCAUGUGCUUGUUUGUAUAAUAUAAACUCCCUUCACUGAGGACAUCUUUGGUUUAACCUGUAAUUAAAAAAAUAUCUAUAUAGAAAAUAUCAGUUUUUUUCUAUAUAUUACAAAUCAGCUAUUUUCUCAUGACAUUGGAACAGGACAGGUGUUUAUAUUUUUCCCCUACAUGCUAUAUUUGAAGCUAUUCUUAGCUCAGACACCCCUCCUAUCCAUAAAACAUUUCUGUUUGAAAUUGUCUUUAUUUCACAGCUAAUUUGUCCAUUAGCUGUGAAGAUUUAUUGAUCAUUCUGUGAAUCAGAACAGGGCGGUCUUCUGGAUUAAAAGUGUUCAUCAAGGAGUGCUGGUUGAUUUUUAUUCCUAUUUAAAAGUCUAGCUGAAUGCCAACAUCUGUCAUUAGUUCAGUCCCUUUUCUGAAAAACAAAACAUGUUUCUUGUGUAGGCAAUAAGUUCAAACAGGUAGCAGUGAGUGUCGGCAGCUUGAAUGGUUCCAUGGUUUGUUAUUUCAAGUGUAGAUUAGUCACCUGGAUGGGUCCACGCUGUUACACGGGCCAGACAAACGGGGCAGAAACUGCUGGAAUUGAUCGCUUUCUUUUCUUCUCAAGCAAGCAAGACCCUUUUAUUUAUAAAACACUUGUUGGGGGAUUUGACUGCUUAUUACAUGAGGUGUGUUUGGUUUGAAGAGGUCAAACAUGAGCCUUGCUUUUUCACAGUGCCUUUUAUAGUCUAAGGGGAAAAUUGCUCAACUGAGAAUCGAGUAGCAGCAUGAGCUAAAAUGCCAGAUCAUUAAUAAAAAAAAAAAAAGGAACAUUUGUUUCAAGAAACACGUCUGGGUAAUGCUCAAAAGAAGAAAAGCAGAGUGGUCGCCCUAAACCCCUUCAGCAAUGAAGCACUUCCUGAAAAAACUUGAAAGAAAAUAGAAACGCAAUUUAAAAAAACAACAAAAAAAAAACCAGAAAAACACCUUGUAAAAGAAUUGAAAUCCUUGAUGCUGUCUGUUGUUGUGUGCGGCGGGGUCACCUCCUUUGGGUGCCUGUCGAUAAGAGCUAGCCUCCACAGGAGAGGAAAUCACCUCCCAUUGUGACUUUCCCCAUUCUGUGCCCCCCCCCCCCCUCCACUGCCCCAUUCCCCUUUAUAUUUGUGACAUAGUUCGACCACCUCUGCCAUGACCUGCACUCUGGCUGUGAAGCCAAGUGGUUCAGUGAAAUCCUACUCCUCCUCCCCCCCCUCCCUCCCGUAGGGCUUGUUCUGUGGACAUCUGUUUGAUCUGCUUCUGGAUGCUUGCGACUUCUUUUUUGUUGUUGUUGUGAUUUUAUUCUUCCUUUGCCUGUAGAAGCUCUCAUCAGUGUUUCAACUGAAUGUGCAAAUUGUAAAUAAUAAUACUACUGCUGUCACGAUGUUACGUUUUCGCCACGUUUGUCUUGAAGAGCAACAUUCACCGAAGGAUUUCACAAAAACCCUCAUCCCCUCCUUACCCUGGUUUUUGAUGAAAAGAAAGAGAAUGAUUCUGCAUCCUGAGUGUGUUACUUGUCACACAGGAGUGUCCCAUUGGUGACUGUUGUUCUUCUUGAAAUGGCUUUAAUAUUGGCUUCGUUGGAGCUCUCUUCAUCUUACAUAAGCUUUGUUUUCUUUGUAAAAAAAAAAAAAAAACAAGAAGCAUUUUAGUAUCAGCUCAUACUAAAAGGCUUCAUCUAUUGUACAUAUAAAGUACUUUAAUGUUAUGUUAUAACUAUUAUUGAAUGGUAGAUUUCAUAUUUUGUACCAAAUACUCUGUGUACAGAAUACAGAGGAUAUUAGCUACUGGAGACACACUUGGUAUGUGGCACAGACUUCAAUACAUGGGACAGUCUCCGUUUAGAAACCAACUAGAAUUUGGAUAGUUUUUUUUAUUUUUAUUAAUCUAUUUGUAAUCUGGCCUCUUCUCCGUUAUUUUGUUUUCCAUCUUCAGACGUGUUAAGUUUCUACAUACAUGAGCUUUUUAUGUGUGCUUUUAUCCAAAUAUCCAGUGGUGUACAUCUAUCUAUAUACAGCAAAUAAAGAGAACAUGUGAGUUUUAUAUUUUCAUCCUAAGAAAA
RNA transcript from Labrus bergylta (ballan wrasse), 4408 nucleotides. It is a transcript of the gene named serine/threonine-protein phosphatase 2A 56 kDa regulatory subunit gamma isoform, with no coding region annotated. NCBI's taxonomy places the organism in Eukaryota, Metazoa, Chordata, Actinopteri, Labriformes, Labridae. The record is from RefSeq and is a predicted model, not a curated record.